GCUCGUAAUGUUCUUGGACAUCUGGCAAGCUGGUGGCCCUCUGCUGACUGCCUGAACCCCUCUCAGACCUUCAAACCAUGGGCCACAUCCUACUUCUUCCUUCCCUAUGCCUCCUGUGCACUAUCAAGCCCACAGCAGCUUCCCAACCAAGCACCUCUGUGGGCUCUCUUUGAUGUGGAACAGAGAAAAUGAUUUAUGAGGUAAAGAAAGAUUAAAUGAAUUGCUCAAGGUUAUGGAUCUGAGAAUCAAACCCAGGCAGUCACUGAGGGCCAUGAAUGCCUGUGAGGUCAGAGCACAAAAGGCCACAGUUUGGGGAGCCUUGGCAAGGUUGCUGUGGCUGGACUUGUCACAGAAGGCAUGGAGCUACCUGAGAACUCUCACUUACAGAUGUACUUCACAGCCCAGGCAGGAGGUACAGCAACUGGCAUGAUCUGAGGACCUGGUAAUCUUGCUUUCUCAUGCUGUUCUUCCUCUACUGGAAUGCCCUGCCUUCUUCUAUACCCACCUAAAUCCUCUGGUAUUGUUAAAAACCCAGCCCA
This is a non-coding RNA of Kogia breviceps (pygmy sperm whale), 539 nucleotides long. The record is from RefSeq and is a predicted model, not a curated record. NCBI's taxonomy places the organism in Eukaryota, Metazoa, Chordata, Mammalia, Artiodactyla, Physeteridae.